RNAcentral lists this ribosomal RNA (850 nucleotides) under uncultured bacterium. RNAcentral's name for it is "SSU rRNA". It matches the Rfam family "Bacterial small subunit ribosomal RNA", at positions 524 to 1381 of the family's 1533-position model. The record is from RNAcentral.
UACAAGGGCCCCUAAUGUUAUCCGGAUUUAUUGGGCGUAAAGAGUACGUAUGCGGUGAUGCAAAUCAGGAGUAAAAUCCCUAGGUUUAACCUUGGACCUGCUUCUGAAACUGCCUUACUAUAUGCUGGAAGAAGCAAGUGGAAUUGGCGGUGGAGGGUUAAAAGCGGUUAAUAUCAGUAGGAACACCAAGUGCUAAGGCGACUUGCUACCUUAGUCCUGAUUCUCAUGUACGAAAGCGUGGGUAGGGAAUGGUAUUAGAUACCCCAGAAGUCCACGGCGUAAACGAUGGAUACUAUGAAUUGGAAGUAUCGACCCUUUCAGUGCCGGUGAACCAAGCUAACGCAUUAUCUAUCCCGCCUGGGGAGAACGGCCGUCAGGCUAACACUCAGAGGAAUUGACGGGGACCCGUACGAGCGGUGGAACACGUGGUCUAACUCGAUAAUAAGCGAGGAUCCUUCCCAAGGCUUGACAUAUAUCUGCAAGCUCCUAGUAACAGGAAGCGCCCUGGAGGGUCCUAUUCAGGUGGUCCAUGGUUGUCGUCAUAUCGUGCCGUGAGGUGUACAGUUAUGUCUGGAAACGAGCGCAACCCGUGUCUUUAUUAGUCUUUAUAAGGGAACUUUCGUGUACAACACGGAGGAAGGUGGGGAUGACCUCAAUUCAGCAUGGCUGGUCCUCCCUGGGCGACACACAUUCUACAAUGGUAGUGCAAAGGGACGCCAUCUCGAAAGGUGGAGCAAAUCACAACAAAACUCGUCUCAGUUCGGAGUGAGGUGUGCAACUCGACCUCAUGAAACUGGAAUCGCUAGUACCCGUAAAUCAGUCAUGGUACGGAGAAUUCGUUGUCGGGUUU